Molecule: non-coding RNA, 549 nt
Organism: Danio rerio (zebrafish)
Lineage: Eukaryota; Metazoa; Chordata; Actinopteri; Cypriniformes; Danionidae
Source: Ensembl
CGCGGUUUGCCAAUCUUUCCCAAGAUGUAAUGAGAGGAAAGGAAUAUAAAUUUAUUAGUCAGUUUGCAUCGCUAUACCAGGUAUUCCUAAUGUGCAGUGACAAGAAGAGAGGACAGCUUUAUUAGCUCAGAGAACACGUUUGGCGGUGAGCAUCUUUUAGCACCCUGUCCAGAUGGCGCACGACGAUCGGAUGUGGGGGAGCCACCAAUAAAUAUAUUUCCACAUUUAAAGUACGGAAGAGGAAAAGAGUGUCGAUCAAAGAGCCAGAUCUCCAAGACAGCCAAGAUUGCCAUCACUGCCUCCGUAAUCUUUUGUAACAGAAGCUAAUGCAGAAACACCUGCCACACAAGCCGGGCACAUCCAGUCCUGUCGUCGUAAGCAGAUUACAUUCUGCAAUGCCAGGAUCAUCAAACUGAGGGCAAGUUUGAAUAACUGCUGUUUUAUGUUCUGCCUCCUCGUUUGCAUUCCCUGCAAACAACCUUUUGACCUCAAAACGAAGCCAUCCAAAAACCCAGCGAUGUACACACAUUAAAUAUUAUCUUUGUCUUA